RNAcentral lists this transfer RNA (75 nucleotides) under bacterium. RNAcentral describes it as "tRNA-Asn". It matches the Rfam family "tRNA". Rfam says of the family: Transfer RNA (tRNA) molecules are approximately 80 nucleotides in length. Their secondary structure includes four short double-helical elements and three loops (D, anti-codon, and T loops). RNAcentral also lists the same sequence under 2 other names. The record is from RNAcentral.
UCCGGAGUAGCUCAGUGGUAGAGCAGUUCGCUGUUAACGAAUUGGUCGUCGGUUCGAGCCCGACCUCCGGAGCCA